Ooceraea biroi (clonal raider ant) is the source of this 2606-nucleotide long non-coding RNA. RefSeq lists it as uncharacterized. Lineage: Eukaryota; Metazoa; Arthropoda; Insecta; Hymenoptera; Formicidae. The record is from RefSeq and is a predicted model, not a curated record.
CAAAUUUGUUUAUGACAAGCAAGCUAAAACAAAGGAGCAGAAAAUUACUCCUGAAUAGAGCCAAAAAUUUGUCAUUUAAAAGACAUGGCUUCUUUGUGGUGAUCCAAACUUUUUAAUGACAUUGUCGCGAGCAGUUCUUUUGAGCGAUGCUAAGACUCGUCGACACGAGAUCGAUAAUUGGCCGUAUCGACUUUCGAUUUAUCAAGGCACGCACGAAUAUGGAUCGCCCUUCUGUCUUGUCUCACGAUAGGACCGCAAUCAAGACGAGCGGACAGUGUUUACGAAGCGUCGCAUCACCGACGAGCUAAUGGCUCGAAGACAUUAAGUUAAUUGCUCGGCACGUCGUACCUGUGUACUCGCAUUUGCAUGCACGACGAGCUCAUCUUUCUUUCUCUUAUUUGCCUUCUCUCUCUCUCUCUCUCUCUUCACUCUCCUGUUUCCUACUGCUUGCCAGUGUCACGUAAUGUUCACUGUAAUGGAAACAUCGUAAAGAACAUGGGUGUCCCCGUCGAGUAAAUUUCCCGCGGAAAGAAUCUCAUCUUUAUUUCGAAUGCUCAAUCGACUAAAAUAAAAAUUUGCAGCCUGGUUCCCCGAGCGCAAUUUUACAAACUUUCGUUUCAUUUGUGUUUGGUAUCGAUUAAAUUUCCAGAUACAUCUCCAAAUUCGAUGAAAUGAUACUAAAUUUCAUGAGAUAUUAAAAUUAAAGAAAUUAGUUAUAAUAAAUAAUAAUAUAAAUACAUCCGAAAUACCGUAUAUACGUUUAAUUUCAGGAUUAUAACAAAUAAUACAUAAAUAAAAAGUAAUUAAAAUAAUAUUUCCUAAAAUCUGUGCAAGUACACACACACACGCACACAUUUAUUUAAAAAAAAGACGUAUACUUAUUAACAGAUAAUCAGAGAUCGUCCCACCAUCCCAAAAGUGUUCUUUGACAUGCCCGUUCGGACAGUGUUCCACCUAGUAACAAAUAUCCUAAACUCGUAAAAUAGGAAAUAUGUAAAUAUGAUGUCUAGUGUAAUUUCAACAUGCGCCAUUGCGCACGCCCACGCUCGCCCCUUUACGCGUAAAAGGAAAAACAACCCUGCCGUAGUUGGAGGGGAUUACGGCGCCUCCGUCGCUGAUUUUUCCUGCCCGUCGAACCGUCUACGUGUAUUUACAUAAAAUGGCGAGUCGUCGGAAUUUUUAAAUCAAAUUCCUUAUCGAACAAGCGCGAACUCGCGCAAAAGGGGAGGCAGGCGGGCUGGUAGGUCGACGGUGCGAAAAAAGGUGAGUCUCUAUCUACCACCAACGAGAUAACGAGCUCGUUCCUUUUCCACGUUCCCCCGGCACCCUGAGAGACUCGCCACCCUCGUCGGAGCUCUUCCUUCUCUCUCGCUCUUCCUGCAGCCGAUCUUUUCUCCUCGCUUCCGUUCGCUCUCUGCGAACCCGCUUUCACCUCGCGACUUUCCAAGCCGUGACCCAAUGCGGGAAAUGAGAAAACGAUAAGAAAAUAUACCCUCGAAGGUUGCGCGAGUUAAGAGGAGACUCGGAGGUAUAAACGGGCAGAAUCACAUGAUGAUGUGUUUAGGAAGCACAAUGUUUUAGCCGAUGUCUUGGGUAGUUUUUUACAAGAAAUACUGAUACGACAUUUAAUCUAAUAAUUUCGGAAUGGUCACACUAGAGAAAAGACUUAUCGUUCUAAUUUCGCUGCUAGCCACACAGCUGUUAUCAUUCAGUCUGUGGUCAGCUUUAGUUGUGUUUGCAGGAGAUUUGACGUUUAGUAGAAAAACAUCAUAAUUGUGGAAAUCUUAUAUUAUACACUAUCUUUAUCUUGGCGACUUUUUUCAGACAAGCAGAGAUAAUAAGAAAGCGAGAUAACAACACUACAUAAUCAAAUAACUGUUUCUCUUAGAACGUGUGACACUGCUUUAGCAUAAUUCUCUUGUUAUAAUUCUACUGCGUAAGCGUGCAGCAAUAUCUUGCGCGCGAUACGCACAAAAGUAUUCGUCGAGAUGAACAAAAGGCGGAGCGGAAGGACAUGGAUAUACGCGAGCGAAAGAGAAUAAGAAAUCGAGGAUGGAGGAAGAGGAGGAGCCAUUGAGGACAUAAAUCUUCGAAGCUUCCUUAUCAAAGACGGUCUCUUCUUCAAGAGCUGUCGGGCAAGAAGAAGAAGAAGAAGAGAGAGAGAGAGAAGAAACGAAAGGAAGAGAGGUCACCCUCAAGUUGAGGAAAACAGGAGUGCUAUCGAAGAACGAGAGAGACGAAGAGAAGGGUAAGGUAAAUGGAGAGAGACUUGCCAGGAGAGGAGAAGAGGACCCUUGGCUUUCGCGAGUAUUAUCUUGUCAGCAUGGAUAACGACACCUCAGCGUCGUAUCUACGGCCCUCAUCAAUUAUAAAUCCCACCCACCAAUCGCGAUAUCCCGAUGCCACGGCCGCAACCGCGGAUCGAAACGUCUCAUUAUCUUGCUGGUUAGACAUCGCGGUUUCGUCGAGCCAUCUCAACGAGAAAAGGAAAAGAAGGAUUUCUAGAUAGGGAGAUAGUCUUAAACGCGAGACGUUGCUAUAAUACGUUACUGUCUAAUUAUUAUUAUAAAUACUUGUACUAAUAAAAAAAUAUGUACGCAAUUUAA